GGCGAACGGGUGAGUAACGCUUCGGAAUCUGCCCAAUGGUGGGGAAUAACCAGCCGAAAGGUUGGCUAAUACCGCAUGAGCCCUACGGGGGAAAGCGGGGGAUCGCAAGACCUCGCGCCGAUGGAUGAGCCGAAGCCGGAUUAGCUAGUUGGUAGGGUAACGGCCUACCAAGGCGACGAUCCGUAGCUGGUCUGAGAGGACGACCAGCCACACUGGGACUGAGACACGGCCCAGACUCCUACGGGAGGCAGCAGUGGGGAAUAUUGGACAAUGGGGGAAACCCUGAUCCAGCGACGCCGCGUGUGUGAAGAAGGCCUGCGGGUUGUAAAGCACUUUUAGUGGGGAUGAAAAGCUCAGGGCUAACACCUCUGGGUCUUGACCUAACCCACAGAAAAAGCACCGGCUAACUCUGUGCCAGCCGCCGCGG
This 427-nucleotide ribosomal RNA is filed under the name uncultured bacterium. RNAcentral describes it as "bacterial SSU rRNA". It matches the Rfam family "Bacterial small subunit ribosomal RNA", at positions 97 to 520 of the family's 1533-position model. The record is from RNAcentral.